UACAGAGGUCUCAAGCGUUGUUCGGAUUCAUUGGGCGUAAAGGGUGCGUAGGCGGCGCGGUAAGUCGGGUGUGAAAUCUUGGAGCUUAACUCCGAAACUGCAUUCGAUACUGCCGUGCUUGAGGACUGGAGAGGAGACUGGAAUUUACGGUGUAGCGGUGAAAUGCGUAGAUAUCGUAAGGAAGACCAGUGGCGAAGGCGGGUCUCUGGGCAGUAACUGACGCUGAGGAGCGAAAGCGUGGGGAGCAAACAGG
RNAcentral lists this ribosomal RNA (253 nucleotides) under uncultured bacterium. RNAcentral describes it as "partial 16S ribosomal RNA". It matches the Rfam family "Bacterial small subunit ribosomal RNA", at positions 524 to 776 of the family's 1533-position model. The record is from RNAcentral.